This 616-nucleotide ribosomal RNA is filed under the name uncultured bacterium. RNAcentral describes it as "bacterial SSU rRNA". It matches the Rfam family "Bacterial small subunit ribosomal RNA", at positions 275 to 882 of the family's 1533-position model. The record is from RNAcentral.
GACGAUCAGUAGCCGGUCUGAGAGGAUGAACGGCCACAUUGGAACUGAGACACGGUCCAGACUCCUACGGGAGGCAGCAGUGGGGAAUCUUCCGCAAUGGGCGCAAGCCUGACGGAGCAACGCCGCGUGAGUGAAGAAGGGUUUCGACUCGUAAAGCUCUGUUGUCGGGGACGAACGUAGAGGUGGUGAAUAACAGCUUCUAAUGACGGUACCUGACGAGGAAGCCACGGCUAACUACGUGCCAGCAGCCGCGGUAAUACGUAGGUGGCGAGCGUUGUCCGGAAUUAUUGGGCGUAAAGGGAGCGCAGGCGGGAAGGUAAGUCUAUCUUAAAAGUGCGGGGCUCAACCCCGUGAGGGGAUGGAAACUAUCUUUCUUGAGUGCAGGAGAGGAAAGCGGAAUUCUUAGUGUAGCGGUGAAAUGCGUAGAUAUUAGGAGGAACACCAGUGGCGAAGGCGGCUUUCUGGACUGUAACUGACGCUGAGGCUCGAAAGCGUGGGGAGCGAACAGGAUUAGAUACCCUGGUAGUCCACGCCGUAAACGAUGAAUGCUAGGUGUAGGAGGUAUCGACCCCUCCUGUGCCGGAGUUAACGCAAUAAGCAUUCCGCCUGGGGAGUA